AUAUGGGUAUGUUCUUAAAAAUAUUGAUAACUGUUGGGCAGCAGGUCCGUGUUAGCGACAUUUUUAACGAGUAUUUGUAGAUUUGAUCCUGCAGCACAGCUGUUGAAUGGAGUUUAUGCUGCAAAAUGAUGCUUGCGCCUUUAUAAUAGAUCAGCGUGUUGGCUCUCUUUCAAACUUGUGUUCGGUGUCAUAUUUAUCAGAUGCUGCAAAGCCUAAACGCGUACGCACGGAGACCAAAGCCCUCCCCACCCGGUUGGAGUGUCCUCAAUUUGCCUUCCGGAUGACGUCAGUAAGGUGACAUGGGCGCUCUCCACGCAUGAGAGCGGCAUGGCAAAUAAUUUGGGGUGCGUGGACUUUCAAUGCAUUCAGAAAUUCGCCCGUGCAUGUUCCCCGGUGCACAACAUGGCAUUCCUCCUCGUACAGCGACUCGGCUCGGGCUUCUCCGCAAAGGGCUCUCUCUGCGCAGCAAGUGAGUGACAGAGAUGAGGGGUGGGGACGCAGGGUGGGGUCACAAGCAGGGAGAGGCGGAGGAGGAACAGGCAGAGAGAGAGAGCCCAGCCCUUCAAUGCACGGCAGCGAACGGCAAGAACCAGCGGCGCAACGUUUGGCUGAUUUAUUCCAUUUUUUAUAUUUAUCUUUUGGGAAGAGGUUACAAAGACAACGACGCUGCGGACAUGAACUGAACAGAAGAGGCAAGCACCACCGUGCUGCAAUCUCCCGAAUAUCCACAGCACACCGCCCCUUCCUCCUCCUUGUCCUCUCCCAUAAGCCCUCCUUUCUCCCCUUACCCCACAUUACAGCGAUACACACCCAACACCACCCUCCUCCGCCCCCUGCCCCUCCACACGGAGAUGCACACGGAGAGCCGACACAAGAAAAGGAGGAGCGGUGCCCAAAAGAAGAAGAAGAAGCCGUCGGUCACCGCCCUGACGCAGGAGGCCACGCCGCCCUCGCCGGCCAA
Molecule: long non-coding RNA, 961 nt
Organism: Hippocampus comes (tiger tail seahorse)
Lineage: Eukaryota; Metazoa; Chordata; Actinopteri; Syngnathiformes; Syngnathidae
Exons: 2
Source: RefSeq, a predicted model, not a curated record